GGCAAAGGUCUCUGUAGUUGUACAAGGCCAGAAAGGAAAAGCAGUUAUUUACUUAGUCAUUUGCCAAUAUGAAAAGGGACCAGAGGUUACGAGAGGAGGAUGUAGCUAAGAAUUAAAAGUCAACAACUUUGAAUUAAAGUUAUCAUAGUGCAUGUCAGAGAAAUUCUUUGCCAAGCUUAAGUGUGGUUUUUGUCAACAUACCAGCAGAGGUGCUGAAAAUAGCAGCUACAAGGUUAUCCGGGGAAAACAAAGGAAUUGAACAAGUUCAAAGUAUGUGUGCCAGUUAGGAGUCCUGAAGACGAUGAAGCUUUUAUCCCUUAUCUCAGACCACUUGUUGCUCUGUGUCUUCCUGAGUCUACUCUGGGGCACAACUGACUCCAAUACAACAAUCACAUCAACAGUGACGACGACAGUGACAGCAGGACAGAAAAGUACAGCAAAAACAGAAACAAGCACAAGACUAAGAACCAAUCUGCUGACAGGUACAACACAAAAAACCUCUCCACUAACUCAAACAACACAAACAUUUACUCCACUGGCUCAAACAAAUCCCACUCCACAGACUUCAACAGAACAAACAACUACAUCUACAACAGCAAAAGCCCAUAAUGUUGACAGAGUGGAUGUGACCACACAAAAUGAGAACAGUAUAACUCUGACCUGGAACAAGGUUAACAACAUCCCAACAUACAUCCUGCAAUAUGGUAAUAUAAGAGAAGAUAUUUAUAAACCUGAAGAAGGACCCAUAGUACAUGUGGUCACUUCUCUGACUGCUGGGACAAACUACACAUUCACUCUCUUCACCAUGUCUGAGGGACUCAACAGCAGUGGAUACAGAUUCAGUGCUGUGACAGCUCCUCGUAAUGCUGACGACUUUAAGAAAAAUGGACAAGAUGAGACCAGCAUAACUCUGGAGUGGAAAACAGUCCCCAACAUCGACAAAUACAUUCUUGCAUUUAAUGAAAGAGAGAUCAAUAUUAGUAAUUCUGAAAACGAAUACAGAGUGUUAAAUUUGACCAGUGGAACCAGAUACACUUUCACUCUCUUCACUGUGUUUGGAAAUGUCAGAAGCAGUGGAGUAAACUGCAUCACAGUCACUGGUAAGAUAUAUUUUCUCUAACAUAGACAGAUAAACCAGGAUGGACCAGCUCAUUAGUACUUGAAACUUUAGCUGAUGGAGAGUUGUUGUUUUUUUUUUUGUGUGUUUUUUUUAAUCAAAGCCACUUUCCUCUGUUAUCUUUAGCUCCACAAAGUGUUAAUAAUGUGACUGUGGUGCAUCAAAAUGAGAUGAGUAUACCACUGGAGUGGAACAAGGUUAAAAACAUCCCAGAAUACAUCCUACAGAAUAAUAACAUAAACAUUUGUCAAAUUUUCCAACUUGAAUAUGUCAAAUACUAACCCGACCUAUAAUCCUAGACUGCUUACUGCUAACCUGUUGGAGGUUAACAGAUUAAAAACAUCUAAAACAGUCAUAGUCCUUUAAAAUGUUCCACAGUUGAUGCUCCUCUACAACAUGAACAAGGGCAGAGCUCUAUAAUGAUGUUUAAGGUUUCUCAGAAACAGA
Molecule: long non-coding RNA, 1564 nt
Organism: Astatotilapia calliptera (eastern happy)
Lineage: Eukaryota; Metazoa; Chordata; Actinopteri; Cichliformes; Cichlidae
Source: Ensembl